AUUAAAGAUUUCUUCUUCAAACUUUUUAAAUCUAAAAUUAAAUAGUUGACACAGCAUAGGUUUCUGACACAGAAUGAAUGUGGUCUAAUGAACUUUUUUUUUUGCCUUUGAGCAAUUCACUAUGCUGUUGAAUAUUAAUCCUCUCAAAAAUAUGUUUGAAGAAAUUUUCUUUUUAUUUAUGAAAUCUGAAAUGAGAAAAAUUUAACCCCCCCCCUUUUUUUCACAUCCCUGUUUCCCUUUUUCCAAAACUGAUAUCAAUUCAAAUUUCUAAUGGAG
This 276-nucleotide long non-coding RNA is filed under the name Mytilus galloprovincialis (Mediterranean mussel). Lineage: Eukaryota; Metazoa; Mollusca; Bivalvia; Mytilida; Mytilidae. The record is from RNAcentral.